This 497-nucleotide ribosomal RNA is filed under the name uncultured bacterium. Its description in RNAcentral is "partial 16S ribosomal RNA". It matches the Rfam family "Bacterial small subunit ribosomal RNA", at positions 28 to 507 of the family's 1533-position model. The record is from RNAcentral.
GAUGAACGCUGGCGGCGUGCCUAAUACAUGCAAGUCGAGCGAACAGACGAGGAGCUUGCUCCUCUGACGUUAGCGGCGGACGGGUGAGUAACACGUGGAUAACCUACCUAUAAGACUGGGAUAACUUCGGGAAACCGGAGCUAAUACCGGAUAAUAUAUUGAACCGCAUGGUUCAAUAGUGAAAGACGGUUUUGCUGUCACUUAUAGAUGGAUCCGCGCCGCAUUAGCUAGUUGGUAAGGUAACGGCUUACCAAGGCAACGAUGCGUAGCCGACCUGAGAGAGUGAUCGGCCACACGGGAGCGUGGACACGGUCCAGACUCCUACGGGAGGCAGCAGUAGGGAAUCGUCCGCAAUGGGCGAAAGCUUGACGGAGCAACGCCGCGUGAGUGAUGAAGGUCUUCGGAUCGUAAAACUCUGUUAUUAGGGAAAAACAAAUGUGUAAGUAACUAUGCACGUCUUGACGGUACCUAAUCAGAAAGCCACGGCUAACUACGUG